GACGAACGCUGGCGGCGUGCUUAACACAUGCAAGUCGAACGGACUACUUUGCUUCGGUAAGGUGGUUAGUGGCGAACGGGUGAGUAACGCGUAGACAACCUACCUCUUAGAUGGGGACAACAUCGCGAAAGCGGUGCUAAUACCGAAUGAAGUGACUUUCCUGCAUGGGAGAGAUACUAAAGGUGGCCUCUAUUUAUAACCUACCACUGAUAGAUGGGUCUGCGUCUGAUUAGCUAGUUGGCCGGGUAACGGCCCACCAAGGCGACGAUCAGUAGCCGGUCUGAGAGGAUGAACGGCCACAUUGGGACUGAGACACGGCCCAAACUCCUACGGGAGGCAGCAGUGGGGAAUCUUCCGCAAUGGACGAAAGUCUGACGGAGCAACGCCGCGUGAGUGAAGAAGGUUUUCGGAUCGUAAAGCUCUGUUGUUUGAGACGAAUGUGCCUGUUUCAAAUAGGGAUAGGUAGUGACGGUAUUAAACGAGAAAGCCACGGCUAACUACGUGCCAGCAGCCGCCGUAA
RNAcentral lists this ribosomal RNA (520 nucleotides) under uncultured bacterium. RNAcentral's name for it is "partial 16S ribosomal RNA". It matches the Rfam family "Bacterial small subunit ribosomal RNA", at positions 28 to 523 of the family's 1533-position model. The record is from RNAcentral.